RNAcentral lists this ribosomal RNA (280 nucleotides) under uncultured bacterium. Its description in RNAcentral is "partial 16S ribosomal RNA". It matches the Rfam family "Bacterial small subunit ribosomal RNA", at positions 591 to 869 of the family's 1533-position model. The record is from RNAcentral.
GGUGUGAAUACCUUGGCUUAACCAAGGAAGGGCAUUUGAAACUGCUUGGCUUGAGUACGGGAGGGGGAAGCGGAAUUCCCGGUGUAGAGGUGAAAUUCGUAGAUAUCGGGAGGAAGACCGGUGGCGAAGGCGGCUUCCUGGACCGAUACUGACGCUGAGACGCGAAAGCGUGGGGAGCAAACAGGAUUAGAUACCCUGGUAGUCCACGCCCUAAACGUUGGGCACUAGGUGUUGCGGGUAUUGACCCCUGCAGUGCCAAGGGCGAAUUCCACAGUGGAUA